UACAGGGGGGGCAAGCGUUGUCCGGAAUUACUGGGCGUACAGCGCGCGCAGGCGGUCCAUGACGUGCCGUGUGACAGGCGUCGGCUCAACCGACGCAGGCCAGGGUACACGAAUGGACUGGAGGCAGAGAGAGGGAUGUGGAAUACCCGGUGGAGCGGUGAAAUGCGUAGAGAUCGGGUGGAACACCAGGGGCGAAGGCGGCAUCCUGGCUCGUAACUGACGCUCAGGCGCGACAGCGUGGGGAUCAAACAGG
RNAcentral lists this ribosomal RNA (253 nucleotides) under uncultured bacterium. Its description in RNAcentral is "partial 16S ribosomal RNA". It matches the Rfam family "Bacterial small subunit ribosomal RNA", at positions 524 to 776 of the family's 1533-position model. The record is from RNAcentral.